RNAcentral lists this ribosomal RNA (402 nucleotides) under uncultured bacterium. Its description in RNAcentral is "partial 16S ribosomal RNA". It matches the Rfam family "Bacterial small subunit ribosomal RNA", at positions 355 to 767 of the family's 1533-position model. The record is from RNAcentral.
UAGGGAAUAUUGCACAAUGGGCGAAAGCCUGAUGCAGCAACGCCGCGUGCGCGAUGAAGGCCCUCGGGUCGUAAAGCGCUUUUCUGCGAGAUGAGAAAGGACAGUAUCGCAGGAAUAAGUCUCGGCUAACUACGUGCCAGCAGCCCGGGUACGGUAAACGGUAACGGACGGUACGGACGGUACGUUACGUACCGGUACGUUACGUACGUACGGGUACGGUAAACGGUACGGUCGGUACGGUACGUAGGGUUUAGGGUUUUACGGGUUUAACGGGUUUACGGGGUACGGUAACGGUAAACGGUACCCGGUACCCCGGUACCGUACCGUAACCGGUUACGGGGUAACGGUAACGGGUUACCGGUUAACCGUAAACGUUAACGUUAACGUACGUACGGUACGUAA